GAAUUGUGGGCAGGUGUCCCCUUCCUCCCUCACCACUACAUGUACAUCUCUCCAGAAGCUGACUCAGCUUGGUAGAUAGCGGAAGAACAUUCUUGGUCAAGGGCAUAUGAGCAUAUGAGUAGCUGCACCCCCUGCUAGAACUUCCAAACAAGUUCUCAAGGUCUAUUUGUAGGAGAAUGUAGGGCAGUCAAGCUUCCAAGACCCCAGACACAUCUAAAUGGGGCACUGUAAGUGGCAAUCUGCCUUUCUUU
This 251-nucleotide small RNA is filed under the name Panthera tigris altaica (Amur tiger). RNAcentral's name for it is "7SK RNA (ENSPTIG00000000287.1)". It matches the Rfam family "7SK RNA", at positions 69 to 331 of the family's 331-position model. Rfam says of the family: 7SK was discovered as an abundant small nuclear RNA in the mid-70s but a possible function has only recently been suggested. Lineage: Eukaryota; Metazoa; Chordata; Mammalia; Carnivora; Felidae. The record is from Rfam by way of RNAcentral.